This 5339-nucleotide long non-coding RNA is filed under the name Marmota monax (woodchuck). Lineage: Eukaryota; Metazoa; Chordata; Mammalia; Rodentia; Sciuridae. The record is from RNAcentral.
GAAAGAAUUCUGUGGAGAAGAAGGCAGAGUGGUCUCCAGGUAGCAAUGUUGAAAAAAAGAAUAGAAUAUCAAUUUCAUCUUCAACAUGCUGAACCAUCCCUAAUCCGAAAAUAUGAAAGCUCCUAAAUCUGAAACUUUUUGAGUGUUAACAUGAUGUUACAGGUAGAAAAUUCUAAACCAGGCAAUUUUAUCUCAUGUGUUUCAAAACAUUAUAUGAAAUUGCCUUUAGGCUAUGUAUAUAAGGUCAUUUUAAUCAGCUUUUCAUUACUGUGACAAAAAUACCUGACAAAAGCAACUUAAAGGAAAAGUAUAUUUAGGCUCAUGGUUUCAGAGUGUUUAGUCUGUGGUUGGCGAACUCCAUCGCUCUGGGACUGAGAUGAAGCAGAGUAUCUUGGCAGAAGGUAAAGCACAGCCAAGCUGCUCAGCUCAUGGGAGCCAAAAAGCAGAGUGAAAAGAUCCAGGAACAAAAUAUAAUCCCCAAAGGCAGACCUCCAGUGACCUACUUCCUCCAGUCAUACAGUUACCUACAGUUACCCCCUAGGAAUCCAUUCAAAUUAUUAAAUUACUAGAUGGAUUAAUCCCCUGAUUAGGUUAUAUCUCCCAUGGGCUCUGGCUCUCAUAAUCUAAUCAUUUUAUCUCUGAACAUUCCUGCAUUGCCACAUGGGCUUUUGAGGGACAUCUCAUAUCCAAACUAUAACAAAGGUUCAUAUGAAGCAUAAAUGAAUUUUGUGUUUCCACUGGUUCUAUCUCGAAGAUACCUUGUGUAUAUGCAAAUAUUCCAAAUUAAAGAAAAGUCCAAAAUCUGAAACACAUCUGAUCUCAAACAUUUCAGAUGAGGGAUACUCAACUUGUGCUAUGUAGAGAAAGGGAGAGCAAUGAGAGAGAUCAGUGCUUAUCAGAGAUUUGUUUGCAAAUUCAAACCCAUGUUGUGGCCCUCUUCCGCUUCUCAUCUUUGCCAUCUUACUAAUUUCUGGACACUCAACCAUAUUUAUUAAGGGCUUAGAACCUGGAUCACUAUCUUCCAGCCAUAUUAAAACCUGAUGAUGACUUCCUAUUGACCAGGGCCCUUCUUUCUAAUACCUUCACCUCUGGUUUUAUUGACUUUCUCAUCUCCAACAACCUCCUUUGCUCUACCUAAAUCACUUAUCUCCAUGAAACCUGUUUUUGCUUCUUAAAUCCAUUAAGUUCCAGGUCUUCAAUUCUGCAGACACUUCAAUGAAAUUGACACAGGUGCAUGACAAUAGAUGGGAAUCAUAAUCUUGAGCUUAUAACUAUAUAUUGCUAUAUUAAAUUAUAUUCUUAUUAUAUUUCACAUAAUCAUAUAUUUAAGUUUUUUAUAUUUGUUCCACAUCUAGACUAUUGCUACAAAUUCAUAUAAACAUCUCUCUUUCCAGUUUCGUAGUUUAGUGAUGCCAGUUUAUCUUAUUCAUCAGUUUCCUCCUGUGCUGAUAUUUCCUUUUUUCUCAUCUAAAGCAACUUUUGUCCCCAUUUCAACUUGCUGUGCCUCAGAGGCUGACUGUACUGGGAUCUGGUGAUAGGCAGAAUUGCCACAAGUCCUUUAAUUUUUGUUGCUUCUCAAGGGCCUCGAAAUUUCUCCUUUGUUUCCUGUUUUUUAAAAAAAAAAUGACAGAAACUCUAUUUUAUUUAAAUUUUACAGCAUUUUUAUACAGGAAGUAAGUAUAUAAUCAUCUCCAUUUUACAAACUAGGAAAAUAAACAUAGAGAUGCUAAGUGAUUUCAAUUCUGUCACCAAAGGUGCUUGUCCUUCCUCUUGCUCCUUCUCUCUUCCAGAAGCCACACCUUUUAAAGACCAGCCGUUCCAAGCCCCUCCCCUGAAGUCAGUGCUCUGGUGUACCAUGACUUCUUUUCAGUAUUUUUGUGUUUAGGGUAGACUUUUACUUUCUGGCAAUGUUUUUUUGGAGCAAUCUGAGGGCUGCUGCUAGCUUCCCCUUUUCCUCUUUUAUGAAGCCUUUCCUCAGACUGCCCUUGCUCAUCACAGAGGCUUUUGGGAGAAGUGUGAGAUUGCUGGGCUAUUUUUGUUGUUGUUUUCUCACAGAAAUUUGAAGCCUGGCCUUGUUCAAAGGUCUUGUUUUUAUAUGACCACAUAUUCUUUUAAUGUGGCCAUGGAAAAUCAAGUGUAGUCAUAAGUAGUUAGUGGGAGUGCACACUGGCCAAGCUCUUUUAGAGGGAAUUUUGCAGUAUUUAUGCAUUUGACCCAGUAAUACCCUUGACCCAGUAAUCCCAUUUAUAGGAAUGAACCCUGAAGGUUCUCUUCCAGCCAAAAAUGUGCAUGUACAAGGUCAUUAAUCUGACUUUAUAAUUUUAGAAGAUGAGAAAUAAUUUAAGUACCCAUACAUAGAAGGUCAGCUCAGUAAACUAUAUUAUACCCAACAAUGGAGAUCUAUACAGAAACAAAAAAGAACAAGGAAUAUCUCUAUAAACUUUUGUAGAAUUGUCUUCAGACUAUAUUGGUAAAUGAAUAAAAAUCAUAUGAAAAAUACUAUAAGAAAGAUUAAUAAAAAAUGUGUACCUGUUCUAUUCAUUUGCAGAAAAAGAAACAAGAAGGAUAAACUACAAUCAGUGAUGUUGGUUAGAUGCAAGGAAUGAGCAAGAGUGAGCCAGAAAAUGAUGGGGAAAAUGAGAAUGGGAAAUAUUGUGUGAUUUUAAUUUUAUCGUCUUUGCCUCACAUAUUAAAAAUUCAAGUAACUAUAAGCAACAAAAAAGGGAAGGAAGAGUAAAAACCAUAAUGAAAUACAAAUGAAAAUUACUGUGUUUCAAAUGAAUACCACAACCACAUUUAAAAGGAGUCCGUGAGUUAGAACUAACUUAAGUAACUUCAGAACACAGUAAUUUUAUUAUACAAUAAAAAGGCUCAAGACAAAAAGAGUACAUAAAAUCACUGGAUUCUAUUUAGUAAAAUUGUUUUUCAUAGUAGUAUUGGUUAGCAAUCCCAACACUAUGUUAUAUGUAUUCUAAGGUGGGGCAGAUAAGUAAAUAUAUUAUGGCUAAUGAGAGUCAGCUUUCUUACCAUUGUAGAAGAGAGUUUGAAAUAAGGAAAAGAGGAAUGUUUGCAUGAAGACUGUGAUAUUUAAUUGUAACUUGUGUUAUGAAAAUGAAUUCAUUAUUUUGAAUAUAAAAACACAUAGAUAUACACACAUGGAUUUGUAGAGGGGAUAGGGAAAUAGAUAUAAAUAUGUGUAUGCAUAUCUAUGUUGAUCAGAUUCUCCAGAGAAACAGAAGCAGGAGGAUGGAGACACACACACACACACACACACACUCUCUCACUCACACGAUUUUUUUCUUGUUUAUGGAGACCAAGUAGUUCCAUGAAAUGCUGUUCACAUGCUAGAGACCCAGAUGAGAGGGUGAUGUAAUUCUGUCUAAGUUAAAAUGUUCUCAAACCAGGGGAACCUAAUAGUGUAAUUCUCAGUUCAAGGCCUGAGAACCCACAGUGGUGAAGGGAGCUCUUGCUGGUGCAAGUUCUGGAAUCCAAAGCCCUGAGAACCAGGAGUUUGAUGUCUGAGGCUGGGAGAAGAUGGAUGUCCCAAGUCAAGAAGAGAGAGCAAUAAUUCACCCUUCUUCCACCAUUUUGACCUGUAUGAGUGGGUGCUCAAUGGAUUAGAUAAUAUGUGCCCACAUUGGUGAGGAUUAUCUCCUUUACUUAAGAUUACUGAGGCAAAUACUUAUCUUUUCCAGAAACAGUCCCACAUACUUACCCAGAAAUGUUUUACCAGCUAUCUAGGCAUCCCUUUACUCUGUGAUUUUUGACACAUAGUUAGCAAGCAUGUAAUACAUGUAUAUGAUAAAUAUUACAUACAAAUCUGUAGUACAUGUGUAUAAUAAAUAUUAUAUGUAAAUCUGUCUUCUCAGAAAGCCUAGAAGAAAUGAGAACCCAUAUUCUGAUAUAUAAAUACCUGUCCCCAGUGAAAAAUCAGAGUUCCCUGGAGAAAUGGUUGAUUUCAGGGCUGUGGCAGGAAAAGUAGAUAAGCUUAAAAUACUUUCCAGGUAUCAAAAAUUAAGGGUUCCAGAAAUAAACACUUUAAAAAUGAUGCUGACGUGUCAAAAAAGACUCAGAAGCCAGUGUCAACAAGGUCCCACUAAAUCUGGGAAAAUUAGAAAAGAAAAAAAUAAAUAAUGAUGGUAAGGGAUUUUAUAACUUAUAGAAUUACAUAAAAAUUUGAGUCCCUACUGAUGUAAGUGAACAAAUACAUGAGAAGGAAUAAUUCUAUAUUAAUUCAUGACACUGAAUUUUUAAUUAAAUUUUUUUUCAAAAUGAAAAUUUUAUGCCCAAAUGCUCUAUUGGUAAGUUCUGACAUUUAAGGAAGAAAUAAUUCCAAUCCUAACAAACUCUUUCAGAAAAGAGAAAAUACUUCCAAAUUCAUUUCUUGAGAGCAAAGACAACAGAUAAAGAAAAGAGAACUACAGACCAAUAUCCCUAUGAAGAUAGGCAAAAUAUCCUUAAAAAAAUUUAGCAAAGCAACAAGAUAGUCAUGUGCUAAAUCAUGAUGUUUUGGUCAAAAACAGACUACAUGUUUGAGGGUAGUCACAUAAGAUUAUAUUACCUAGGGAUGUCACAGCCACAUUAGUUUGUAGGUAAUUUUUUUCAAUGUUUAAAAAGAAAGAAUAGUAAAAUGCAAAAUAUUUGAAAUAUAAAACAUAAAUAGAGAAAAUCAAUGAAAUAAGAACUGGGUUUUUUAAAGAACUCAAUAAACACCUACAUUUACAUUGAUUUAUCAACAAUCAAAGGAAAAGGCAAUACCUAGCAAUAGAAUACAUCACUCACUACAGAACAUAGCCAUUAAAAGAAAAACAUGAGAAUAUGAUGGAGGUAAUUUAUGCCAAUAAAAUAAGCAGAUUGGGUGAAAUGAACAAAAUCAAUGAAAGACACAAAUUAACAAACCUGAUCCAAUCAGUGAUACAAAACCUUAAUAAUUCUAUGUUAAUUCAAGACAUUGAAUUUUUAAUUAAAGAUUUUUUUUCUCAAUUAAUAGCAUUACUUCUGCAGUGAACACAGUUGAAGAGAAAAUCAUUUCACAAUUCUUAACUAUUUUUAAUCAACUCCCUGAAUCAGGAAGUACUGCCUUCGAAUUCACUAAUUUUCUCUUCAACUGUGUCCAUUACAGAAGUAAUGCUAUUAAUUGAGAUUGCAAUUUGAAUUGCUAACCUCGUUCAUUGCCAAUAUUUAUAAUAGCUUUUUAUCCUCUUCAGAUCUGCCUGUAUGUUUUUAUAGGUCCUCUCCUUGUUUAGUUUUUAAUGGUUGUUAACCUUUUAUUAUUUCUUGAACAUACUUAUUUUGAUGUCUUUAUCAUACCUUUCUAUUAAAAGGAAUUUCUUACUGUG